UACGAAGGGGGCUAGCGUUAAUCGGAAUCACUGGGCGUAAAGCGCACGUAGGCGGGUUCUUAAGUCAGGGGUGAAAUCCUGGAGCUCAACUCCAGAACUGCCUUUGAUACUGGGAAUCUCGAGUCCGGGAGAGGUGAGUGGAACUGCGAGUGUAGAGGUGAAAUUCGUAGAUAUUCGCAAGAACACCAGUGGCGAAGGCGGCUCACUGGCCCGGUACUGACGCUGAGGUGCGAAAGCGUGGGGAGCAAACAGG
This 253-nucleotide ribosomal RNA is filed under the name uncultured bacterium. Its description in RNAcentral is "partial 16S ribosomal RNA". It matches the Rfam family "Bacterial small subunit ribosomal RNA", at positions 524 to 776 of the family's 1533-position model. The record is from RNAcentral.